This 297-nucleotide ribosomal RNA is filed under the name Petrobius brevistylis. Its description in RNAcentral is "partial 28S ribosomal RNA". It matches the Rfam family "Eukaryotic large subunit ribosomal RNA", at positions 1592 to 1866 of the family's 3401-position model. The record is from RNAcentral. Lineage: Eukaryota; Metazoa; Arthropoda; Insecta; Archaeognatha; Machilidae.
UGGCGAAAGGGAAUCCGGUCAAAAUUCCGGAACCCGGGUAGCGGAACCGCUCACCGUGCCCUCGGUGUCAGGGUAACCUGAAAGGACCCGGAGACGCCGUCGGGAGCCUCGGGAAGAGUUUUCUUUUCUGUUUGAGCGUCCGGAACCCUGGAAUCCUGUCAAAGGGAGAUAGGGUAUUGGACGCGAAGAGCAUCGCAUUUGCUGCGGUGUCCGAGGAGUCCCGACGGACCUUGAAAAUCCGGGAGAGGGCUACGUGGAGGUGUCGCGCCGGUUCGUACUCAUAUCCGCAGCAGGUCU